CCUACGGGUGGCAGCAGUGAGGAAUAUUGGUCAAUGGUCGAAAGUCUGAACCAGCCAAGUAGCGUGAAGGAUGACUGCCCUAUGGGUUGUAAACUUCUUUUAUGUGGGAAUAAAAUACGGUAUGCGUACCCUCUUGUGUGUACCCUAUGAAUAAGGAUCGGCUAACUCCGUGCCAGCAGCCGCGGUAAUACGGAGGAUCCGAGCGUUAUCCGGAUUUAUUGGGUUUAAAGGGAGCGUAGGCGGCUUGUUAAGUCAGUUGUGAAAGGUCGCGGCUCAACCGUAACACUGCAGUUGAAACUGGCAGGCUUGAGUACGGGAGAGGUAGGCGGAAUUCGUGGUGUAGCGGUGAAAUGCUUAGAUAUCGCGAAGAACUCCGAUUGCGAAGGCAGCUUACUGGACCGCAACUGACGCUGAUGCACGAAAGCGUGGGUAUCGAACAGGAUUAGAUACCCUUGUAGUC
This 460-nucleotide ribosomal RNA is filed under the name uncultured bacterium. RNAcentral describes it as "partial 16S ribosomal RNA". It matches the Rfam family "Bacterial small subunit ribosomal RNA", at positions 338 to 795 of the family's 1533-position model. The record is from RNAcentral.